AGAGCGUAGGGAGGAUACCUAGGCACCAAGAGCCGAAGAAGGACGUGAUAAGCUGCGAAAAGCUAUGGUAAGGAGCAAAUAUCCUAUGACCCAUAGAUAUCCGAAUGAGGGAACUCAUCCACAGAAAAGAGUGUGGAUAUCCAUAUAUGAGUAAAGUAGUAUAUAGGAAGGGAACGCAAGGAACUGAAACAUCUUAGUACUUGUAGGAAGAGAAAGAAAAAUCGAUUCUGUUAGUAGUGGCGAGCGAAAGCGGAAGAGCCCAAACCAAUGUUGCUUGCAAUAUUGGGGUUCGGACUACAUAAUCCAUUUAUCGAGCGAAUAAGAAUUGUUUGGAAAGGCAAAUCAUAGAAGGUGAAAAUCCUGUAUUAGAAGCAAGAUGAAGGAGGUAGUAUCCAGAGUAGUGCGAGGCACGUGAAACCUCGUAUGAAAGAGCGGGGACCACCCCGUAAGGCUAAAUACUACUUGGUGACCGAUAGAGAUUAGUACCGUGAGGGAAAGGUGAAAAGAACCCCGGGAGGGGAGUGAAAUAGAACAUGAAACCCUAUGCUUACAAACAGACAAAGCACGUUAAGGUGUGAUGUCGUACUUUUUGUAGAACGGUCCAGCGAGUUAUUGUAUAUGGCAAGGUUAAGCACUAUGUAAGGUGUGAAGCCGAAGCGAAAGCGAGUCUGAAAAGGGCGAAUUAAGUCAUAUGUAAUAGACCCGAAACCGGGUGACCUAACCAUGGUCAGGAUGAAGCUUGAGUAAAAUCAAGUGGAGGUCCGAACCGAUAAGCGUUAAAAAGCUUCCGGAUGAACUGUGGUUAGCGGAGAAAUUCCAAUCGAACUCGGAGAUAGCUGGUUCUCCUCGAAAUAGCUUUAGGGCUAGCCUUGAUGUAAGAUAUAUGGGGGUAGAGCACUGAAGGUGCUAGGGGCCUAAACCAGGUUACUGAACACUAUCAAACUCCGAAUACCAUAUAUUAGUAAUCAGGAGUCAGACUGCGGGAGCUAAGUUCCGUGGUCAAAAGGGAAAGAGCCCAGAUCGUCAAUUAAGGUCCCAAAGAUAUAGCUAAGUGGGAAACGAUGUGAAAUUGCGUAAACAACCAGGAUGUUGGCUUAGAAGCAGCCAUACAUUUAAAGAGUGCGUAAUAGCUCACUGGUCGAGUGAAUUUGCGCGGAAAAUUACCGGGGCUAAGCUAUACACCGAAAUUGCGGGUUCAUAAGUAAUUAUGAGCGGUAGAGGAGCAUUCUGUAGUAGGAUGAAGUAUGAUCGAAAGGACAUAUGGACGAGGCAGAAGAGAGAAUGCUGGAAUAAGUAGCGAGAGCAAAGUGAGAAUCUUUGCCGUCGAAAGUCUAAGGUUUCCUGGGGAAGGUUCGUCCGCCCAGGGUAAGUCGGGACCUAAGGUGAGGCCAAGGAGGCGUAGCCGAUGGAUAGCAGGUAUAAGAUUCCUGCACUACCGAAAUACUUAAAAACGAUAAGGGACGCAGGAGAGGAAGGAAAUCCGGGAAAAGGAAAAACCGGAGCCGAAAGGCAUAGUGAAAAUUAUAGUAACGAAGUUCCAAGAAUCACACUGACGAGAAAAGCUUAUUGACAUUGUAUUAAGGUACCCGUACCGCAAACCGACACAGGUAGAUGAGGAGAGGAUCCUAAGACGAGCGAGAGAAGUACUGUUAAGGAACUCGGCAAACUAACCCCGUAACUUAGGGAGAAGGGGUGCCUAUGUAAAAGUAGGUCGCAGAGAAGAGUCCCAAGCAACUGUUUAACAAAAACACAGGUUUCUGCUAAAUCGAAAGAUGAAGUAUAGGAGCUGACGCCUGCCCAGUGCUGGAAGGUUAAGGGGAAAUGUUAGAGUAAUCGAAGCAUAGAACUAAAGCCCCAGUGAACGGCGGCCGUAACUAUAACGGUCCUAAGGUAGCGAAAUUCCUUGUCAGGUAAGUUCUGACCCGCACGAAAGGCGUAAUGAUUUGGGAGCUGUCUCGACAGUAUACUCGGCGAAAUUGUAGUACUAGUGAAGAUGCUAGUUACCUGCGACAAGACAGAAAGACCCCAUGGAGCUUUACUGUAGCUUGAUAUUGGGUUUCGGUAAUUUAUGUACAGGAUAGGUGGGAGACUAUGAAGCAAGAGCGUUAGCUUUUGUGGAGUCAUCCUUGGGAUACCACCCUUAAAUUAUUGGAAUUCUAACCUGUGAUCAUGAACUGGUCAGGGGACAAUGUCAGGCGGGCAGUUUGACUGGGGCGGUCGCCUCCUAAAGAGUAACGGAGGCGCCCAAAGGUUUCCUCAACCCGGACAGAAAUCGGGUGAAAGAGUGCAAAGGCAGAAGGAAGCUUAACUGAAAGACAGACAUGUCGAGCAGAUACGAAAGUAGGGCUUAGUGAUCCGGUGGUAUGUGAGUGGAAAUGCCAUCGCUCAACGGACAAAAGUUACCCUGGGGAUAACAGGCUUAUCUCUCCCAAGAGUUCACAUCGACGGGGAGGUUUGGCACCUCGAUGUCGGCUCAUCGCAUCCUGGGGCUG
This 2492-nucleotide ribosomal RNA is filed under the name human gut metagenome. RNAcentral describes it as "bacterial LSU rRNA". It matches the Rfam family "Bacterial large subunit ribosomal RNA", at positions 14 to 2555 of the family's 2925-position model. The record is from RNAcentral.